AUACGUAGGUCACAAACGUUGUCCGGAUUUAUUGGGCGUAAAGGGUCCGUAGGCGGUUCGGUAAGUCUCCUGCGAAAUCUUCAGGCUCAACUUGAAGAGGUCGGGGGAUACUGCCGGACUUGAGACUGUUAGAGGCAAGUGGAAUUCCCGGUGUAGUGGUGAAAUGCGUAGAUAUCGGGAGGAGCACCAGUGGCGAAAGCGGCUUGCUGGGACAGUUCUGACGCUGAGGGACGAAAGCGUGGGUAGCAAACCGGAUUAGAAACCCCGGUAGUCC
Molecule: ribosomal RNA, 274 nt
Filed under: uncultured bacterium
Lineage: Bacteria
Description: partial 16S ribosomal RNA
Rfam family: Bacterial small subunit ribosomal RNA
Source: RNAcentral